Megachile rotundata (alfalfa leafcutting bee) is the source of this 1140-nucleotide long non-coding RNA. Lineage: Eukaryota; Metazoa; Arthropoda; Insecta; Hymenoptera; Megachilidae. The record is from RefSeq and is a predicted model, not a curated record.
AUUUUAUAAAAUAAUUACGCUUUCGAAUGAAUAUUUGUUGUAAUAUUUUAUAUAAUAAUUGGAAUAGAAUUGAACAGUAAUUGUUUACAAUUGUAUCAAUAAUUGUAUAAUUAAAUUUUACUACUAUUAAGGUAUUAUAAUUUUCUACAAGGUCUCAUGAGAUUCUAAUAUUUUACUCGAUUUCGCAAAAUAGUCUCAUAACAUUUUAUACAAUUUGCAUAAUAACCUCAUAAUAUUUUUGUACAUUUUUACAAAGUGAAACUACAAAUGCGAUCGUCUCAAACGAUUUAACUGCAACGAAAGUGCGAACACAUGAAUAUUUAUUCUCGUUAUGAAUUUAUUCCAACGGAAGUAAUCUGAAGAAGUACAGAACACUCGUUUUACUCGAGUAACCUACAGAACAAUUAUUUUCAUUUAUACUACUUGUUUGAUUCUUUUAUUAGCAGAAUUUUUUACUGACUCUUUGUUUCAGGUAGACAAAUACAGACAACUGUUCCACUAGAAAGACAGAAAUCAGAGGACAUUCACCAUAACGAUAUAUUAUUUUAUAGAGAAUUAUAGGUUAUGGUUAUGUUCUUUUACACAAAAAAUAUAAUGCAGAAGAGAAUUUAUCACGUUUUGAAAAAAGAAUAGAAGAAAAGGAAAAUAACGUAAUAUAAUAAAAUAUAAUGUACAAAACAUACAUGUCGCAUGUAAGCAGGAAAAUAUAACAUGAUUACCUACGUAAUUUCAAUGAUUUAGCGCAGCGAAGGCAGUAAUGUAAAAUGCUAAUAAUUCGUAGAAGAAUCAGUGGACCAACGUCGGCUAAAAUAAAGGAAGAAGAUGGUAUCUCGUAUAAUUUAUCUUUUUUUUUCUAUCGCGCUUUCAUCGGUUAUCCGUCGAAGGAGGCGUUCAUCGUUGGUAAUACAUCCCUACGGCCAAGGAUAAUCGUCGAUAAUCUAUUAUGCCGGCUGCCUUCUACUUUUUCUUUUUUAUGUACCUUUUUUCUCACCUGCUUCGCUCGGAGGCUCUGUCAGCCAAAAAUCGAACGGAGAUGUUUCAAUUUAAAAAUUCAAAUCUGAACGGUUCCGCCUAAACUCAUUCACUAUUUGCAUAUUUUUCAUGUUAUCUCAUACUUUAUUAAUUUUUUAUUUUGUUUUA